AAAAAACAGCUCCAAAGAAGCAGCUGAAAGAGCGCAAAGAAAAAGCAACUCACACACCAAAAGUAAUGAAAGAUUUUGAUGAAGUGCCAUCUUCAAAGAAAGCCAAAGAGGAAACUGAAGACAUGACUUCCAUGAGGAAAGAAAAAACUCCCAUCAGUUUCUUCCAGUGUGUCUACUUGGAUGGGUACAAUGGAUAUGGAUUCCAAUUUCCUGUUACACCAGCACAUCAACCUGGAGGCUCCAGUCACCCAAAAUCACCAGGACAGAAGCAACAAGGACAAUAGGCAUGCAUGUGUGGUCGUACAAGCUUGUAAGAUUCUGAGUGUUAGAUCUUCCCUUGUGAUCCACCAGAGUACUGCCAGUGUGACCCAUUGGAUCAUUUGUAUUUGCCAACAUUUUAUUUCCUCAUCGGGUACUAUGAAAAAAUGUGGAUAAGGUGACUGAUAAACAAAGUAGGCAUGCUGAAGCAUCUUGUGUCAGGAAUAGUACUCAAAGAGCUCCUGAUAAAUUUUGUGGGGAUUUUUUG
Molecule: non-coding RNA, 526 nt
Organism: Phascolarctos cinereus (koala)
Lineage: Eukaryota; Metazoa; Chordata; Mammalia; Diprotodontia; Phascolarctidae
Source: RefSeq, a predicted model, not a curated record